UUAUAUAAAGUAAUUUUUACAUUUAAUUUCGAAUUAAAAAUUGAUUAAUAUUUAAUCUAUAUAUA
This 65-nucleotide transfer RNA is filed under the name Hylaeus confusus. RNAcentral describes it as "tRNA-Arg". Lineage: Eukaryota; Metazoa; Arthropoda; Insecta; Hymenoptera; Colletidae. The record is from RNAcentral.